Molecule: ribosomal RNA, 426 nt
Filed under: uncultured bacterium
Lineage: Bacteria
Description: bacterial SSU rRNA
Rfam family: Bacterial small subunit ribosomal RNA
Source: RNAcentral
GUGAGGAAUUUUCCGCAAUGGGCGAAAGCCUGACGGAGCAAUGCCGCGUGAAGGAUGAAGGCCUAUGGGUUGUAAACUUCUUUUCUCAGAAAAGAAUUAUGACGGUAUCUGAGGAAUAAGCAUCGGCUAACUCUGUGCCAGCAGCCGCGGUAAGAAAGAGGAUGCAAGCGUUAUCCGGAAUGAUUGGGCGUAAAGCGUCUGUAGGUUGUUUAAAAAGUAUUCUGUCAAAGAUUAGGGCUUAACCCUAGAUAGGCAGAAUAAACUUUUAAGCUAGAGUUUGGUAGAGGCAGAGGGAAUUCCCGUUGGAGCGGUGAAAUGCGUAGAUAUCAGGAGGAACACCAAAGGCGAAGGCACUCUGCUGGGCCAAUACUAACACUGAGAGACGAAAGCGAGGGGAGCAAAUGGGAUUAGAAACCCUGGUAGUCC